This is a long non-coding RNA of Cyprinus carpio (common carp), 363 nucleotides long. RefSeq lists it as uncharacterized. NCBI's taxonomy places the organism in Eukaryota, Metazoa, Chordata, Actinopteri, Cypriniformes, Cyprinidae. The record is from RefSeq and is a predicted model, not a curated record.
GGUUUAAGCUGAAUGAGCUCGUUGUCUUGCAGUAAUUAUUUCUUUGCUGUGUUAGUACUGUAACAGAAGAAAUAUUGCUUUUGAAUUGGUUUUACGACUGAGGCCUCAAGUAGAUAUGUAUAGAAAUUUUCUUUCUAUUGUAAAACAUGCAAAUAUCAAGAAACGAAUGUGUCUUUGUUCUUCAAUUCACAACAGUAGUGGAACACGCCUUUAUCUGAAGAAUCAUUUUUCAUAUUUAGGAAAAAAGCUUGUGGCAACUGUCUUCUCUGAACAGCGAUCUUGUGAACAUGGGCCUCAGUACAAUAAAGAGGACACUUCACACCCUACAACCCGUAAAAAUAACCCAUGUUUGACAGAAAACUA